AAUUUAAUUCUGGCAAAUUUAAAAUGGAAAAAGAAAAAAGAGCAAAACUACUCUACUCCCCCAAGAUGUCAUUAAUCUGACAUAUAGCCAGAGUUUGAAUACCCUAAGUUCACAUUCCCAACAUGUGGAUGGAAGAUUUAAGCCCAAUACGUCUAGUCAAGAGGACCCUUGGGAGGCCACCUCAGUCCAGGUAACCCUGCAGUAGAGGCCAGGAGGGCGCAAAGGGACCUGGGUCGUACAAACACUGAGCCAGGCUAUGAAGUUGGGGACAGAGGAGGGACUGCUGAUACAUGUUCCAGGCACAUGGGGGUCCCAAGAAGAAUGGUGACACAUCAGCAACCUCAGUGAAUAUAAUCAGAAACAUCUGAAGAAGCUGAGAACCGUGAAGACAGAGCUACCUGCUCUCCUUUUGCAAUGCCCCGUACUCAGCUCCAGGUUUCCUGUCCUCCAGGGAGCUCUUGUGUUGUCUUCUUAUUAUAUGUCCACUUAACUUCCUGCCUUGGGCUCAGAUGUCUCUGUUCACUUGUCAGGGCUCCGGAGGCUUUUGUGUCUCUUCAACUAGAAAAGGUGGGGCUGCGGGACAUGAUGCUGAACGCCUUCCUCCUCAGGAAACAAACCAUGGCCAACAGAAUGAAGAGCCUUGAUGAAAUCAGUAAAGUCAAGAGAGACGUUAUAGUUGAAUAUUGUCAGAAGUUCAACUGCCGUAUGUCUCACUAUGCUCUUCGGGGUCAGAUUAUGGCAUACUGCAAUAGCCUGAGAGCCCUGCUGGAAGAUUUCCCUACCAUAAGGGACACCUUUUUCAUGGUGGGGCAACCACAAGAAAAGAAAGGGUUGAGAGACUCCAAGGAGGGCCUCAAGGCUGACCCCAGGUGCCCAGUUUGUGGAUACCAGUGUCGGUCUCAUGAGCUCAGCCAGUGCAUUCACUUCCGUAGACUUCUGGAUUUACCCAAUGGAAGAAUGCAUUUGAAGGAAGGGUGGGGCAAAUAUACCUCUGUAGACUGACUAUUUUGCUGGAGGGUUUGACUAUAUACCUGUUGCCCAAUGAGGCUGAAGCGUAUCUUUCUCUCCUGUGAAACAUCACAGGAUAGUCCUCUAAGACUUCUUAGUUUCAUUAUCUCAUCUACCCAGUAGCCAAGUCAACCAUUUAUAAGCCCAAUCUAUAUUUGGGAUCAAAUUUUUAGAAUAGUUUCCAGAAGUCUAACCACAUGUUCACUACAUUUGUAUUUAGGAUAAAACGUAUUCAGGAAGUCUGUUUUUGUUUCUGAUCUGUUUUAUUUGAAGCACCCAAAUAAGGAGGUCAGGAAGUAGAAAGAAAAAGAAAAAGAAAAAAAAUGUCUCUAACUUGCGGGUCUUGCUCUAUUCCUGUAUUGUUUAUUGUAGAUGACUGUGUGUUUCCUUAAGAUCAAAGGAAACCAUCAUUUAAGGGGGAUGAGCCUAGAGACCUAAAUCAUGUGGUCAGUUAGUGUGUGAUAAUUUCACGGCAGGACUUUGGUCAAUAAAAGUGUGAGCAAACCAAGUGCCCACCCAGAGCCCAAGUCAUAGACGGUGGAUGAGCAGUGACUGAUAAAGAUUCAGUAUUUUUCGACUAUACCUCUUACUUCCUAAACUCUCUAGACUUCAACAUGUCCCUUUUAAUACACCACAGAGAAUGGA
Molecule: long non-coding RNA, 1653 nt
Filed under: Ursus thibetanus thibetanus
Lineage: Eukaryota; Metazoa; Chordata; Mammalia; Carnivora; Ursidae
Description: lncRNA (ENSUTTG00000003203.1)
Source: RNAcentral